This 102-nucleotide transfer-messenger RNA is filed under the name Porticoccaceae bacterium. RNAcentral describes it as "partial transfer-messenger RNA". It matches the Rfam family "transfer-messenger RNA", at positions 1 to 100 of the family's 374-position model. From Rfam's summary of the family: Bacterial tmRNA, also known as 10Sa RNA or SsrA, is named for its dual tRNA and mRNA-like properties. Its role is to liberate the mRNA from a stalled ribosome. To accomplish this part of the tmRNA is used as a reading frame that ends in a translation stop signal. The record is from RNAcentral. Lineage: Bacteria; Pseudomonadati; Pseudomonadota; Gammaproteobacteria; Cellvibrionales; Porticoccaceae.
GGGGGCGUUUUGGAUUCGACGCCGGUUACAAAACCUGUAGUGCAUGCCGAGAUGGCGAUCAAUCUCGUUAAUCCAAAAUCGCAAACUUAUAGUUGCCAACGA